AACGAACGCUGGCGGCAUGCCUAACACAUGCAAGUCGAACGAGACCUUCGGGUAUAGUGGCGCACGGGUGCGUAACGCGUGGGAACCUGCCCUUAGGUUCGGAAUAACUCCCCGAAAGGGGUGCUAAUACCGGAUAAUGUCUUCGGACCAAAGAUUUAUCGCCUUGGGAUGGGCCCGCGUUGGAUUAGCUAGUUGGUAGGGUAAAAGCCUACCAAGGCGACGUUCCAUAGCUGGUCUGAGAGGAUGAUCAGCCACACUGGGACUGAGACACGGCCCAGACUCCUACGGAAAGCAGCAGUGGGGAAUAUUGGACGAUGGGCGAAAGCCUGAUCCAGCAAUGCCGCGUGAGUGAUGAAGGCCUUAGGAUUGUAAAGCUCUUUUACCCGGGAUGAUAAUGACAGUACCGGGAGAAUAAGCUCCGGCUAACUCCGUG
This 433-nucleotide ribosomal RNA is filed under the name uncultured bacterium. RNAcentral's name for it is "partial 16S ribosomal RNA". It matches the Rfam family "Bacterial small subunit ribosomal RNA", at positions 29 to 507 of the family's 1533-position model. The record is from RNAcentral.